GCGUUCGUAGCUCAGCUGGAUAGAGCGUAAGCCUCCGAAGCUUAAGGUCGGCCGUUCGAAUCGGCUCGAACGCGCCA
This 77-nucleotide transfer RNA is filed under the name Bacillota bacterium. RNAcentral's name for it is "tRNA-Arg". It matches the Rfam family "tRNA". Rfam says of the family: Transfer RNA (tRNA) molecules are approximately 80 nucleotides in length. Their secondary structure includes four short double-helical elements and three loops (D, anti-codon, and T loops). The record is from RNAcentral. Lineage: Bacteria; Bacillati; Bacillota.